RNAcentral lists this transfer RNA (69 nucleotides) under Cricetulus griseus (Chinese hamster). It matches the Rfam family "tRNA". Rfam says of the family: Transfer RNA (tRNA) molecules are approximately 80 nucleotides in length. The record is from Rfam by way of RNAcentral. Lineage: Eukaryota; Metazoa; Chordata; Mammalia; Rodentia; Cricetidae.
AGUGGUGGAGUUCAGGGCAGAAUAUGUGCUUAGCAGGCACAAGGUCCUGGGUUCAAACCCCAGUACCUA